AUGGGGGGUUUUGGUCCUGGCUCGGGAGGAACGGGGGCGGCGUGCCUAAUACAUGCAAGUAGAACGCUGAAGAGAGGAGCUUGCUCUUCUUGGAUGAGUUGCGAACGGGUGAGUAACGCGUAGGUAACCUGCCUUGUAGCGGGGGAUAACUAUUGGAAACGAUAGCUAAUACCGCAUAACAAUGGAUGACACAUGUCAUUUAUUUGAAAGGGGCAAUUGCUCCACUACAAGAUGGACCUGCGUUGUAUUAGCUAGUAGGUGAGGUAAUGGCUCACCUAGGCGACGAUACAUAGCCGACCUGAGAGGGUGAUCGGCCACACUGGGACUGAGACACGGCCCAGACUCCUACGGGAGGCAGCAGUAGGGAAUCUUCGGCAAUGGGGGCAACCCUGACCGAGCAACGCCGCGUGAGUGAAGAAGGUUCGGAUCGUAAAGCUCUGUUGUAAGUCAAGAACGGGUGUGAGAGUGGAAAGUUCACACUGUGACGGUAGCUUACCAGAAAGGGACGGCUAACUACGUGCCAGCAGCCGCGGUAAUACGUAGGGCCCCAGCCUUUUCCGGAUUUAUUGGGCGUAAAGCGAGCGCAGGCGGUUUGAUAAGUCUGAAGUUAAAGGCUGUGGCUCAACCAUAGUUCGCUUUGGAAACUGUCAAACUUGAGUGCAGAAGGGGAGAGUGGAAUUCCAUGUGUAGCGGUGAAAUGCGUAGAUAUAUGGAGGAACACCGGUGGCGAAAGCGGCUCUCUGGUCUGUAACUGACGCUGAGGCUCGAAAGCGUGGGGAGCGAACAGGAUUAGAUACCCUGGUAGUCCACGCCGUAAAAGAUGAGUGCUAGGUGUUGGAUCCUUUCCGGGAUUCAGUGCCGCAGCUAACGCAUUAAGCACUCCGCCUGGGGAGUACGACCGCAAGGUUGAAACUCAAAGGAAUUGACGGGGGCCCGCACAAGCGGUGGAGCAUGUGGUUUAAUUCGAAGCAACGCGAAGAACCUUACCAGGUCUUGACAUCCCGAUGCUAUUUCUAGAGAUAGAAAGUUACUUCGGUACAUCGGUGACAGGUGGUGCAUGGUUGUCGUCAGCUCGUGUCGUGAGAUGUUGGGUUAAGUCCCGCAACGAGCGCAACCCCUAUUGUUAGUUGCCAUCAUUCAGUUGGGCACUCUAGCGAGACUGCCGGUAAUAAACCGGAGGAAGGUGGGGAUGACGUCCCCUUAUGACCUGGGCUACACACGUGCUACAAUGGUUGGUACAACGAGUUGCGAGUCGGUGACGGCGAGCUAAUCUCUUAAAGCCAAUCUCAGUUCGGAUUGUAGGCUGCAACUCGCCUACAUGAAGUCGGAAUCGCUAGUAAUCGCGGAUCAGCACGCCGCGGUGAAUACGUUCCCGGGCCUUGUACACACCGCCCGUCACACCACGAGAGUUUGUAACACCCGAAGUCGGUGAGGUAACCUUUUGGAGCCAGCCGCCUAAGGUGGGACAGAUGAUUGGGGUGAAGUCGUAACAAGGUAGCCGUAUCGGAAGGUGCGGCUGGAUCAC
RNAcentral lists this ribosomal RNA (1525 nucleotides) under Streptococcus thermophilus. Its description in RNAcentral is "bacterial SSU rRNA". It matches the Rfam family "Bacterial small subunit ribosomal RNA". The record is from RNAcentral. Lineage: Bacteria; Bacillati; Bacillota; Bacilli; Lactobacillales; Streptococcaceae.